RNAcentral lists this non-coding RNA (21 nucleotides) under Arabidopsis thaliana (thale cress). The record is from RNAcentral. Lineage: Eukaryota; Viridiplantae; Streptophyta; Magnoliopsida; Brassicales; Brassicaceae.
UGGUGAAAAUAGUGUCUUCCC